AUUGAACGCUGGCGGCAUGCUUUACACAUGCAAGUCGAACGGCAGCGCGGGCUUCGGCCUGGCGGCGAGUGGCGAACGGGUGGGUAAUGCAUCGGCACGUGCCCAGUAGUGGGGGAUAGCCCGGCGAAAGCCGGAUUAAUACCGCAUACGACCUGCGGGUGCCAGAGGAGCAUCGAAACGCCUCGCGCACUUGGAGAAGCCGAUGUCGGAUUAGCUAGUUGGUGGGGUAAAGGCUUACCAAGGCGACGAUCCGUAGCUGGUCUGAGAGGACGACCAGCCACACUGGGACUGAGACACGGCCCAGACUCCUACGGGAGGCAGCAGUGGGGAAUUUUGGACAAUGGGGGCAAGCCUGAUCCAGCCAUGCCGCGUGCGGGAAGAAGGCCUUCGGGUUGUAAACCGCUUUUGUUCGGGAAGAAAGCCUCUGGGCUAAUACCCCGGGGGGAUGACGGUACCGGAAGAAUAAGCACCGGCUAACUACGUG
RNAcentral lists this ribosomal RNA (484 nucleotides) under uncultured bacterium. RNAcentral describes it as "partial 16S ribosomal RNA". It matches the Rfam family "Bacterial small subunit ribosomal RNA", at positions 28 to 507 of the family's 1533-position model. The record is from RNAcentral.